Long non-coding RNA from Maniola jurtina (meadow brown), 114 nucleotides. RefSeq lists it as uncharacterized. Lineage: Eukaryota; Metazoa; Arthropoda; Insecta; Lepidoptera; Nymphalidae. The record is from RefSeq and is a predicted model, not a curated record. The transcript has 4 exons.
AGUUUCUCUUUCGAUUAAAAAUGUAAAAAAAUACGCAAAUCGGUUCAGAAAUCGCGAAGAUGUCAGUGUGCAUAGGUCGAAAAACAUAACUCCUUCUUUUCUGAAAGUCGGUUA